This 468-nucleotide ribosomal RNA is filed under the name uncultured bacterium. Its description in RNAcentral is "partial 16S ribosomal RNA". It matches the Rfam family "Bacterial small subunit ribosomal RNA", at positions 28 to 507 of the family's 1533-position model. The record is from RNAcentral.
GACGAACGCUGGCGGCGUGCUUAACACAUGCAAGUCGAACGGAAAGGCCCUGCUUUUGUGGGGUGCUCGAGUGGCGAACGGGUGAGUAACACGUGAGUAACCUGCCCUUGACUUUGGGAUAACUUCAGGAAACUGGGGCUAAUACCGGAUAGGAGCUCCUGCUGCAUGGUGGGGGUUGGAAAGUUUCGGCGGUUGGGGAUGGACUCGCGGCUUAUCAGCUUGUUGGUGGGGUAGUGGCUUACCAAGGCUUUGACGGGUAGCCGGCCUGAGAGGGUGACCGGCGACAUUGGGACUGAGAUACGGCCCAGACUCCUAUGGGAGGCAGCAGGGGGGAGUAUUGCACAAUGGGCGGAAGCCUGAUGCAGCAACGCCGCGUGCGGGAUGACGGCUUUCGGGUUGUAAACCGCUGUCGCCUGUGACGAAGCGUGAGUGACGGUAAUGGGUAAAGAAGCACCGGCUAACUACGUG